RNAcentral lists this ribosomal RNA (484 nucleotides) under uncultured bacterium. RNAcentral's name for it is "partial 16S ribosomal RNA". It matches the Rfam family "Bacterial small subunit ribosomal RNA", at positions 30 to 507 of the family's 1533-position model. The record is from RNAcentral.
AUUGAACGCUGGCGGCAGGCCUAACACAUGCAAGUCGAGCGGUUGAAGGGAGCUUGCUCCUGGAUUCAGCGGAGGACGGGUGAGUAAUUCCUAGGAAUCUGCCUGGUAGUGGGGGAUAACGUCCGGAAAAGGGCGCUAAUACCGCAUACGUCCUGAGGGAGAGAGUGGGGGAUCUUCGGACUUCACGCUAUCAGAUGAGCCUAGGUCGGAUUAGCUAGUUGGUGGGGUAAAGGCCUACCAAGGCGACGAUCCGUAACUGGUCUGAGAGGAUGAUCAGUCACACUGGAACUGAGACACGGUCCAGACUCCUACGGGAGGCAGCAGUGGGGAAUAUUGGACAAUGGGCGAAAGCCUGAUCCAGCCAUGCCGCGUGUGUGAAGAAGGUCUUCGGAGUGUAAAGCACUUUAAGUUGGGAGGAAGGGCAGUAAGUUAAUACCUUGCUGUUUUGACGUUACCAACAGAAUAAGCACCGGCUAACUUCGUG